GAGACGAAGUUUACCUGCUUCUGCUGCACUCCAUCGUCAAUCCCAGUAUCCCACACACAAAACAAGUUUUAGAUUAUAAUAAAGAAUAUGUAAUGAUAACUUUUUUGGGAAACGUACGCGAACGUACGUGGCUGGCUGUAACUGUAGACCAAAUAAAUUUACUAAAAUGUGGUCGUCGUGUGGACUCUGUGGUGUUGGUGUUGAGGCUCAAGGCUCUCAGACUCUCCAUGCUGUUUGGCAGAUAAACAGCAUCCUUUUGGAUUGGAGGAACUGCCGAUGUCGGUUGAGUUACGGAUGUCUUCUUCCCCUUUCGUUAAAUCCCCUCUGUCCUCGUGUACACCCAUGUGAGUGUGGGUGUAUUCACGAGGACUUUCUUUUUCGUAUCCCGGAUGGUGGAUUCAAUCAAAUUCAGAUGGAUGGAUCGCUUGUGGAUAUGCCUGGCCGUAUUUCCCAGGCUUGAAGAUUUUAUGCCUGGACCAACCAUCAUAACAACACAAUGCAUAAUUUGCACAAAUGCAGCACAUGGAAGCUUAAAUCAGCUGUUUAAUAACAAUCAAGAUAAACAGUAACCUUUUGAUUGGAGAAACUACCUGUGUCGGUCGAAUGACGGAUCUCUUCUUCCCCUUUCUAUUAAUGUCCUCGUGUACAUCCAUGUGUGUGUGGGUGUAUUCCACGGGGACUUCCUAUUCCGCCUGGUGGAUUCAACUUCUCAGCGGGUGGAUGGAGCACAUUUGGACUGCCUGGCCGUAUUUCCAAGGCUUAAAGGUAGGAAAAUUGUACCUCCAUUCUUCCCUUUUGACUAUUUGGUGGCGUCGAUUCCAUUAUUUCGUAGCUAGGCCUUUGACUAGAACUGUUUUCACUUGCCGUUUUUGUUGACUCACAGUCAGGGUAGCCGUUUUUGUAAGUCACAACUCACUGGCAGUGUGUUGAUGAUUUUCUAUAUUUAUUAGAUCAUAAUCAAAUUAAAUUUGUUUAGAGAUAUUUAAUAUAUCUGUUGCGUUUAUAAAGUGCGACGGCCACUAGGUCGGUUUCCAUGACAAUUUCAAUUAAGAACUAGUGAAGCGUGAUAAUGAAAAAGAGACUUGAAAACAAUUCAACCGGUACGCCAUUGACGCAAUUGUGCACUAGCGAAGAAUAGCCCAGGCCCCCAGUAAUAAUCAAAAAAUUCCUAAAAGUAUCCCAGCAGAGAUCCGCGCAUGCGAGAAAAACUCUACGACGCCUUGGAUGAGAAAAGAAACGGGCAAACGCCCAGCAUAUCACACGGCAGUGGACAGGCUCAUCCUUUUAGUCUGUCCAUCACAAUAGUCCAGAAUGGACGACCAACUGGCUUCCUUCGUCAACUCCAGCAGCGCUCCGCAUCAUUCGCCGAUGAUUUCGUUCGAUUUCAACGUCAUGAAACAGAACCUCACGUCCGUCCAAGAGUUGUACCGCACCUCGGCCGUCACCGUGGCCAUGUUUCUCAAUUGCGUCGUCAUUUUGGCCUCUUUCGUUUGCGGCUGGAGUUUUACAGUUAAAAAUUUGAAAUUCGGUUUGUGUAUUCAGUAAGUGUAAUUGCAUUCACAGUUUAAUUUUGGCGAAGAAAUGCCCACCCCUUAAUGAAUUUCUAAUCGAAUGAAUUUUCUUCCCUCCCCUCCACCCCUUAAAAUUUCAUAGCCCAAAAUUUCUUAUCGACGUUAAACAAAAAUGUUUGCGAUGAAAAUGUUUCAUGUCGCCGAUGAAGUUGAACCUCAAAGGGACGCCCCAAUUUCCUCCUCCAACAUCAAACCCGUGAAAUGGGUGUAGUGGUUAUCGUUGUCAUCCAAAUAUAACAAUGAGCUAUAAGAAAUCCCCACCCAGACUUGAUCGCCUUUUUUCAAGUUGAGCGUCGACUGCAGGGUCACGGGACUGAAUUGAUCAACGGGGCCCUUACUCUCUUCAACACGACCCGACCCGAUUAAAUUCCCGUUCAAAAAAAGAUAAGAAGAAAACCAAGCAGACCAAGAAGAUGAAGAACAAGAACAAAAAGAAGAUUCUAGACGCGCCAGUCCCGUGAAAGAGAAGAAAUAAAUUCCCGGUCGUGGUGCCGUGAAUUUCCCCGAUGUCAAAUCCAUGGCAUUUCCCUCGUUCACCACCGCCAAAUUGAACGUUAUCGGAGUUCCAACUAGGUUAAAUGUAGAAUUUCUUUGGACGUAGAAAUAGACGGGCGCGGAUUUGACGUCAACAUAUCCGAUCCAUUUCUGGAAACCUUUUUCAUUAAUUAAAGAAUUAAAAAAUGGAUAAUUAGCUACAACUGAAUAAUUGGUGAGAAUUUCUAAAUCGUUUACCUUCAUCGUCAGGGAGUUUAGUGAAAUCGCAGUAAACGGAUUCCAUUUUCACCGAUCCCAUGACGGAAAAAAUUCCGCUCCACAUGUGGCCAAUCAUUUUGAGAUCCGCGCAUGAAGACGGCAGUCCGUUGAUGGAGACAACAGCUGAUUGAUUAUUGAUAAAUGGAACAGAAUCGGUUGCUUCUGCUGUGCAUUCAUUUUUCUCUCGUAAAAGGGAAGUUAAAAGCGAAUCUUGUUGUUCAACUUUGGCCUCCAGUUUUUCAAUUUUGACUUCCAGCUGGACAUUUUUGGCCUCUAAUUGAAUUACUUUCAAUGCCAAAUCUUGUCUUUGUUCAUUCUGUCAUAGAAAAUCAAAUGUGUUUACCCACAGUGAAUCACUAAAUUAAACUAAACAAUAUACUUACAUUUAGUUCGAGUUGCGCCUCCAGUUGUGUCACUUUUUCUACAAGUCUCACUUCCAAUUCUUGCAGUUUAUCUUCCAAGGAAAAUGGGGUAAGAGCAGAGGAACAAAUUGCCCCGCAACUCAAAAUCAGCAACAUCAAACCAAAACUAAUUGACAAACGAGCCAUUUUUUCUCGAUUUUCUUUGUAAGAAAAGUGUAGCAGAAGCAACACGUAACAAUCGACAGAAAAACCCACUUUGUUUAAAUAAGUUGAAAUACCUAUUGUGCGGUUUUAUCAAUCACCUAUCUUGCAACGAGUCCAUAAAAGAUAACCAUACCGAUAUUUUUUAUUCCAAAUUUGGUUUUUGCUCUUUCUUACUCAGCAAUGUUUUAUGUUUUAUGAUGACUUAAAUAGUUACGUCACUAUUAUUAUUCAAUUAUUCCGUUUAGUUUAGUUGUAUCUAUAGGCUCUUUUGAGAGAAAUAAUUUUUUUUUGGUUUUGGACGACGAUUAUUCUGCUUUAUCUUCGAUGCGUGAUGGCUCCUCACUGAUUGAUUGGUUGUCAUGACGCCGCUUUUCAUGACUCACCUGAAAACUGCCCAUUUUUCGUCAGUUUUUAGUCCAACAGAUGAAAACCAACAACAAAACAACUUGGUUCGACCCGUUGUUGCGUUCAAUUUAAAGGGAAAGGAAAACAAAAACGAAAUGUUUUGGAACUACAGGCUAGAUUACCAAAUGCAAGGAUCGUCUACAUGUGUGCAACUGGCAUAUCGGAAGUUCCGACCGAUGAACGCACCUUUUCAUGGGAGCAUCAGCUGGCAGUUGCGUGCAGACUACAGCCGUAACAAGGAUCAACAUAACAACACUAAUGUGUGACCAUUUAUCACUACGUCAUUAUCGACUCGGAUUAUUGUUUUCUUUUUUUUGUCGUUUUGUAAUUAUAAGUAUUAAAGUAUUUAGGUAAAUAAAUUCAAUCGUUUAAAGCCUUACACAGUUGCA
This 3684-nucleotide long non-coding RNA is filed under the name Daphnia pulex (common water flea). RNAcentral's name for it is "uncharacterized LOC124205564". The record is from RNAcentral. Lineage: Eukaryota; Metazoa; Arthropoda; Branchiopoda; Diplostraca; Daphniidae.